AAGCAAGCCAAGGAGCAGGGAUUUUGAGCAUAAUGUCGAUAAUGAGAAGAACAAUUUUGUUGAGUUGAACCAUAGGGGUAUUGGCUUGAAUCAUAAGUAUGAAAGGGAAAGUAAACAUCUUUCCAGGAAUGGUAAGAAUUAUGCUAUUGGUUCAGAUGAUCAAAGGGUUUUUCGUCGGCUGGAUUCACCCGUCCCACCAGCAGGAAGUAAACUUCACUCUGUUUUGGCUUCUGAUGUUGAGGAUUCCACGUUGGAAUUACGUGGUGAGGAUGCUGAGAGUGGGGAAGAAACUGUCUCUGUGAUGAGGGAUGUUUUAGGUAGGAGUUCUGCUCAAGGCCAAAGCGAACUGGAUGAAUUGGGAGAACAUGUUAUCAGUUCUCUUGGACUUGAGGAUGAACCAAAUGAAAGAAGUGAUAAAAAGAAUCAUCAUGCCUCUCGAGAUAAGGACUAUCGAUCAGACAAGAGAGGAGCAUACAUACUUGGCCAGAGGAUGAGGAUGUUGAAAAGACAGAUUGCAUGUCGGAGUGACAUUAAUAGGAUGAAUGGUGCUUUCCUAGCAACAUUUCAAUCCUUAAUUCCUCCGGAGGAAGAAAGGACAAAGCAGAAACAGUUAUUAGCACUGCUGGAUGGAAUUGUUAGCAAGGAAUGGCCUAAUGCUCGGCUCUAUGUUUAUGGAUCAUGUGCCAAUUCUUUUGGAUUCUCGAAAAGUGAUAUUGAUAUUUGCCUUGCAAUUGAGGAUGCAAAUAUUGACAAAUCAGAGGUAUUGUUGAAGUUGGCUGACAUGUUGCAGUCAGGCAAUCUCCAGAAUGUGCAGGCACUUACACGUGCCAGGGUGCCGAUAGUCAAGCUUAUGGAUCCAGAAACUGGGAUAUCUUGCGACAUAUGUGUGAAUAAUGUUUUGGCUGUUGUUAACACAAAGCUGCUUCGAGAUUAUGCACAAAUAGAUGUACGAUUAAGACAGUUGGCAUUUAUUGUUAAACAUUGGGCUAAGUCUAGAGGGGUGAACGAAACUUACCAGGGGACAUUAUCUAGCUAUGCGUAUGUGUUAAUGUGCAUUCACUUUCUACAGCAGCGAAGACCUGCCAUCCUUCCAUGUCUACAGGGUAUGGAAGCAACCUACUCUGUUACUGUUGGCAACAUUGAAUGUGCUUACUUUGAUAAAGUGGAAAAGCUUUAUGGUUUUGGAUCUCAAAAUGGUGAAAGUCUUGCUCGGUUGGUGUGGGCAUUCUUCAGCUACUGGGCAUAUUGUCAUGAUUAUGCAAAUGAUGUUAUUUCCAUUCGUUCAGGAAGUACAGUGAGCAAGCGAGCCAAAGACUGGACUAGGAGGAUUGGGAAUGACAGGCAUCUGAUAUGCAUAGAGGAUCCAUUUGAGGUUUCUCAUGAUCUUGGUCGGGUGGUAGACAAGUUCAGCAUAAGAGUUUUGAGGGAAGAAUUCGAACGAGCUGCUGAAAUAAUGCAGUAUGACCCGAACCCAUGUGUGAAACUUUUCGAACCUUAUAUACCUAGCUGAUUUGGUCUUCUGUUCAAGUAAAACAACCAAUAAUUAUAGGAAUGUCCGGUCGUGCUGUAAAUGUUAUAAAGUUUGUUUCUUGUAUCCCUUGUGGUUUUGGCUUUCACCUCUCAAGUGUAUUUAGGCGCUUUUGAUCUUCAUCUAUCAUCUAUCAUCUAGGUGUUUUUGAUGUAAAAGAACCAUCUCCUUGAAUUCUAUGGUAUGUAUUCUGUUU
This 1724-nucleotide unclassified non-coding RNA is filed under the name Hevea brasiliensis (rubber tree). Lineage: Eukaryota; Viridiplantae; Streptophyta; Magnoliopsida; Malpighiales; Euphorbiaceae. The record is from RNAcentral.